GGUUGCGAGCCGAGGCGCCUAUGGCCUCGUAAAAAUGGGCAAAAAAACAAAUGCGAAGAACAACAACUUUGCUACCGCACGUAACAUCGCUCCGGCGACUUACGCGUAUGCCGCUUAAUUAAUAGUUAAGUGAGCCAGCCGCGCCCCGUACUGGCGGAAUGGACGGGACCGGUUAAAUAACAUCCGCUACCGGGUUGCCAUGCGUGUAGCAACCACGGGAAAUUAACACUCUUACCGUGCCUGUAGCCUGCCGACGGGCGACAACGCGGGACAUUUAAAACGUUAGCUACGCUCGUAGAUGCUUGUGCUAGGUAUGUUUCGGACCAGGGUUCGAGUCCCUGCGCCUCCACUG
RNAcentral lists this transfer-messenger RNA (352 nucleotides) under Armatimonadota bacterium. RNAcentral describes it as "Armatimonadetes bacterium partial transfer-messenger RNA". It matches the Rfam family "transfer-messenger RNA", at positions 41 to 374 of the family's 374-position model. From Rfam's summary of the family: Bacterial tmRNA, also known as 10Sa RNA or SsrA, is named for its dual tRNA and mRNA-like properties. Its role is to liberate the mRNA from a stalled ribosome. To accomplish this part of the tmRNA is used as a reading frame that ends in a translation stop signal. Lineage: Bacteria; Bacillati; Armatimonadota. The record is from RNAcentral.